Mus musculus (house mouse) is the source of this 7463-nucleotide long non-coding RNA. RefSeq annotates it as RIKEN cDNA 4921517D16 gene. Lineage: Eukaryota; Metazoa; Chordata; Mammalia; Rodentia; Muridae. The record is from RefSeq and is a predicted model, not a curated record. The transcript has 3 exons.
GGUAGCUCCUCUCUUCCUCAAAGCCCCAAACCAACGAUCUCUGCCAGCACCUUUCUCCGUAUGCUGUGUUCUAUUGUAGGAAACAGAUUAGCACUGUAUUAUGUCAUCAUCUGUCUAGUUUAGUGUCUGUGUCCCAUAGGGGCUCCUUUCCACGUUAAUAUGGACUACUACUCGACAGGUGAAGGGAUGCUGAUGAGAACUUAUCAUGUGUGUGUGUACACACACGAGCACAUGCAUGUCUGAGAUUCAUCUGCAGUGUUGUUUAUAUGUCUUUUUGCGACAGGGUCUCCUGUUGAACCUGAGGUCACGUCUCAGCCACCUCCCUGCCCCUAGCUCUGACAUCACAGACAGAGGCCUUCAUUCCCAUUAUGUCACCACAUCCAGCUUUUUACUCCAGGGUCUGGGACGGACCUCAGGCUCUCAGACUUUGCACCGGAUGCACUUGCCUGACGGAGCCAUCUCCCUGGCCUCGGCAGGACACCUUCGAAUGGCUCCCAGGACAGUGCUCUGGGGCUGUUUUAAGAGGUGUCUGCACAGACGAGUGAUGGAGAACACUAGGAAACCUAAGAAAGGACUCUCUCACACUGUCAGGAUAGCCUCCAUUUAUUCCCCUUCUGCUUCGGUCUCCCACACCCUGGGACUGUACGAUGCGAUCAGCCUGUGCUCAGGUCUACGUUACUUCAUAGUAUGCUACUUGGUGUCUUUUUAAAAAGCUGCAUGCUGCCCUGAGAUACUGUUUUACAAGCCAUGUUUGACAACGUGUUAAGUGAAAAACAGAAGCAGGGAUCAGACAGCUGGAGAUCUCCAGACUGACUCCUGGGCUUUAGGCUCAUCUCGUUGCCCCACUGUUGAAAUGGUCAACUCAAGUUGCCUACUCAGUUGACUAUCUGGUACUGGUUCUGGACUUGUCUCUACAGCAUCCAGGGUUUUACACCUUGCCUGGGCAGCUGACCCGGACUCUGAAGCUCAACACAACUCCAAGCACAUGGCUUGACCCAACAACUGCAGACUGGUAAAGGUUUAUUAUGUAACACCAUAGAUUUCCUCUUAUUUUCAGACACUCCCUGUACUCUGCUAUGGCCUAUUGUACCCAUUCGGCAACACACAGACAAAUGCAUGAACACACACACACACACACACACACACACACACACACACACGGCCUAAGAAUUAAAUAUUAGUAGUUAUGAUCAGAAUAAAGAAUCUGUAUUUUCCAAAGGCCAACUAUUGAGGAAAAUAAGGACUACUAGUCAAAUUGUCAAAAGACACAAACAUGUCUUUUUCUGCUCAUGGUAGUGUGCCACUACAUUUAAUUCCUUAUAUAUUUUAUGUAUGCUCAUAAAAAUCUUUUAGAAGGGAAACUAUGCUGAACAAGACAUGAAUUUUUUAAACAAGGCCCUUUGGUUUGUUGAUUUAUCUACUGUACAUGAGUACACUGCAGCUGUCUUUAGAUACACCAGAAGAGGGCAUUGGAUAUCAUUUCAGAUGGUUGUGAGUCACCAUGUGGUUGCUGGGAAUUGAACUUAGGAACUCUGGAAGAGCAGUCAGUGCUCUUAACUGCUAAGCCAUCUCUUCAGCACCUAACUAAGGCCUUAGUUUCCAUUUUGUAAAAUAUUUGGGUCAAUGUUAACACUGCAAAAAAUUACCCGUGGUUGCUAACUCAGCAAGCAAUGGGUGUUACCAUCUUUAUACUACAAUAGGUAAAAUAACACAGCAUUUGAAUUUGGUUGUGUGUGAGGCUCAGCCUUUACUUGUUUUACUAGUCAUGUGCAUUUUUACAUGAGUAGAAUUUUUUAACCAUUGUUCAUUGAUUUGUCAAGAUUUCAAUGUUUUCAGUAUCCAUUUGUUUAAGUCUUUUGAUGUUAGAGUUAAAUUUUAAAUUGAUUUCAUUUUGUUUUGAAAUUAUUUUGAUGCAUAGAAACUUAAACCAUAUUAAGAUCAAAUAAUUAUGUACUUUCAUUGAAAAUAUUCCUUCUGAUGGAUAAAUGCAGAGGUGUCUAAGUCGAGGCCUGGGCUGUUAGCAGUUAAGGACAGCUGUGAGUGGGCCUAAAACAAAGUCACAAACUUAAAGUGUUAUCAGGUUUUUUUUUCUCAAUUUUCUUUUCUAACUUGAAUACACUAGGCAUGUUCUACCAAUAACCUACAUCCCUAGACCCAUUUUUAUUUUUAAUUCUGAGACAUUGUUUCACUAAAUGUUCAGUCUGCCUUUGAAUUCACUCCAUGGUUCAGGAAGGCCUUAAAUCCGCUUGCCUCGGUCUUCUGAGCACCUUGAGUUCUAUGCUUAGGCUGCCAGAUCUAGCUUUGCCUGGGGAGUUUUAUGUUGACUCUGGAUAUAUAGGUUGUACAUGCACACGCACACACACACAAGUCAAUCAUUUACUGAUGGUGAAUCACAAAAAAUGUUUAAAGCAAUUCUUUGGUAUACAUAUAUUUAUUAAAGACAAAUUUGCAUACUAGUUAGACAGAUGUACUUUUUUUUUUUUUUUCAUUAAGAACUAAAUUCUGGGACUAGAGAGAUGGCUUCAAGGUUAAGACCACUUUUUGCUCUUACAGAGGACCUGGGUUCAAUUCCCAGUACCCCCUUGGUGGCUCAUGACCAUUUGUAACUCUAAGUUCAGGAGAUCCAGUGCCCUUUUCUGACUUCUGCCAGCAUGAGGCACACACAGGGUGCACACAUAUAUAUGCAGACAGGCCAAAUAUUCAUUUUGGUAAAAUACACAAAUAUUUGUUCUCUGAAUUUGAGACUGCAGAACACACUUUUUUCAACAUUUUCCCAGAGUUAAUACUUUAAUUUUACAAUUACAGUGGCUGAAAACUCUGCUUCACACCAACACAUAGUACAAAAUUGCAGAAGUAAGUUUAAGACCAUUUUAGAAAGUGCUAAAAUUCUGUCCCCUAAUCCCAAUUCAAAAUUCACUUAACAAUUUUAGAGAAAACUGAAGUUAGCAAGUCAAGCAAGAAGGUUAAAAAAAACAAACAUUAUAGACUAAUUUGGUACAAAGAUACAUUAACCUGAUACUUAAUAUGCUGAGAAAGAUGAUAGGAAACCCUCAAACCUUUGGUUUCUGUCUGUCUACUGUCCUUCUUUCAUGACAGAAAAGUUUAUAUCACAGUAGGAACACACAAUAGUGCUAAAAGUGAGCAGUGGUGUUUCAGGCAGCAUUUGUUAUGGCAUGAAGGCCUGAACAGUACAAACUGCUCAGAUUAAAAGGUUACAUUUAUGUUGUGAAAUAUGGCAUGGAUGUAUGCUACCAUAUACCUCAGAUUCACUGGCGGUGGGGGAUACCUCAAAUUUAUUAACAUGUUCUAUUCUGAGUUAGUUUUUGGUCACUGCACAGUCAGAAGCCUUGUGCUACUAACAACUCUUGAAUUCCCUGGGUGUAGUUAUGUGCGUCCCUAUAAUGAAUGGGUCACAACCCACAGUUUAAGAAGCUAUGAAUUAGAAUACUCAACACACUACAGCUGUCUUCCCUGCUGGACUGUGAGCUGAGCAGGGCAUCCUUUUAUCCUUGCAUGUUAUACACAUAACAGUAUAGAAUCUGGCAGAUUUUCCAUUGACAUUUGCUGAAACCCUGCAUGAAGGGACCACAUAACAUGAGCCAGUGGUUCAAGUUUGUGUGGUAUAUGGAAGAAGCCGUUAUGUCCACAUGGGCUCUUCAGUCGCCAUCAGAACAGACUAUGAAGAAGACCUCACAGCCUGCGGAGUACAAGGAAGCAGCUUGUAGAAUUAAUCAUUAUUUCCUAAAUGUGAGGAAGAUUCAAGUCCAGGAACUCCACAAUCUCAAGACUAAUACUGAAGACUUCAAAAUAGAGCUGCCCACUGUGAUCUAUAAAACAGGACACACUUUAUAGGAACCGAGAAACAGCUGUUUCCCAGUUUCUGUUUUAAAAGGGGAACCAGGUAACAGGGCUCAAGGGUACAUCCUAAGCAUACAGGGGAAAUUUAUUUGCUUAGCGAAACGUGACAUGGAGCUGGCAAAGGGCGUGGUUUGUAUGACAACGUCCUGGUUUGUGAAAUGAAGAGGAUAAGAAGGGCAGGAGGAGUCACUUCAGCACCAGGAUUAAAGAGAAAGGAAACACCAAUAAACACAGGAGGAGGAAAAAGAGACACGAGGGAGGUUGAAACUGAAGAGAGCUGUAUGUACUCCAGGGAAGACACUCACUGGAAGACCCACGAAUCACUCACAGUCACAAUGACUUCAGCUAAACAAAGUUUACAUGAAGACGACACUGAUCUAGACAGAAGAACAGAAACUGAAAUCCUGGUCACCAGUAGCAGCAUGAAUACCGAGUUUCGCUGUGCACCACGGGAGGGGUUUUUACAGAAGCAUAUCUGGGAAAUAUAUUAAGAGUCCAGGGGAGAAUUUUACACUGCUUGGAUAUACUUAGAAGCAGGUAACAGACAAAGAAGCAUGUUUAAACAUUUCAUUGACAUUUUCAUGCUUAAACUUUACUAGCAUCGAUAUUUUUAGUAUAACCAAGCAUUUGUUGAAGUGAAAGGAGCACACAUCUGUAUUAUGCACCAUAUUCUUUCAAGUGGCAGUUGGCAGCCAGCACUCUUUAGCAUUUCCUAAAAGCAUACAAUUAUUAUUAUUUGGGGAAAAUGACCUAAUUCUUUCUUUAAAAGAACAAGGCUAAUGUUGUUUUCCUUCAAUUCUGUUUUCCUUCUCUCCUUCCUAUGACUUACGAUGAAAGUAUUCAUUGUGGCCAAUAUGAAUAUGAACUCAUUCACCCCUUAGAUAUUUAAUAGGCACCUGUUACAUGCCUGGUGCUCUGCUGUGCCUUAAGGUAGCCAGAAAAAACAAGACACUGCUCUUACUCUGAGAAACUGACAAUAUAGAGGAAAAGGUCGGGGGUGCAGGCGAUUGAGACAUGGCGUGGGACUACAGUGGUGGACAAAAGACGAGGCUGGCUGUCAGGAGCGUGCAGUUGUGUUGAUUAAAGGAUGUACUGAGAGUUAUCUAAGCUGGAAGACCUGUAUGCAUACUGCUCAUUAAAAUUCAGGUCUACAUACAAAAGGAAAGGUAACUCACUGUAUGGUAAUUUAAAAAUUAAGAUAUACAGUGUAGGAGAUGCUCAUGAACAGAGAUCUGAUGCCAAAGGGCAUCUUCAUACAACCAAAGACCACAGCAAUGGCAAGAUUACCUGGAUCUGAAAGCAUUGUCAAGAAAAAGCACAGAGUAUACUCAUGUUCUUGACUCAAAAAUGAUUUUGGGCCCCUUAAAAAAGCGGAAGGGCAGCAAGCAGUUCCCAGUGAGAGCCCACGGCUGCUCCUGACACCCACAGCUCCGACGACUCAAAGGCCACUCCUCUUACUCUCUGCCCAGGUUUCUUAAUUUUCCCCCAGACAGAGCCACAGUUCACAGCAAUGGCACGGACACAAUGGAAUCCUUAGAAGCCAUCUCUCACUGAAGAAUCAAAGCUCUCCAGCUUAUGCCUCAAUGAACAUCGACUUCCUCUGACUGGUGAGCAGCUUUUGGCUGGAUGUCCAAAGCACAACAAGGCACCUCAGGCCACAGCUCUUUAGUAAGCUACAAAGGACCACUGAAGAGAUUCUUUGGAUGUGUGCUAUUGUGGGAAGCACCGAGGUGAGACGACAAGAGCAUCCACUCAGGAAAGAGGAAGAAGCCAGGGAUACAUGGCUUGAGCAACGCAGUGUCAGCAGUUCAAGGUUCAGAACAACACUAAGAAGCAAUGGUGACUGCUAGAGGGAGCAGUGGAAAUACUGCCAAGUGCUACGAGCAGGGGCGGCUGUGCACAGAGGGAAUAAGCCGAGACAUCGUGAGGCUAGUUCCUGACAGUUCGAGACUCACACACGUCUAACCACUAUACAACAUAGCAUCAGGACUAAAAGGCAUACCAGGAGAAACCGCCAGCUUCUGACUGCCCCAUGGUUUGUCUACAACCUCAGAGGUGUCAUCCUAUCCUUCCUGCACAGGUCCUAGGAGGCCCCUUUGUCACCUGGAACUGUAUACCCACUCCCUACUAUUGCUACCGGCACUUGCACAACAGCACUGAGCGCUGGGUUCUGUGGGAAGAGACCCUUUCUAUGACUGGUUGGUUGCAGGUUUUACAUCACAUGAGGUGCUGAGGUCAAUCAAGGUCGGCAGUUGUGACCUCCAGGUCACUGCAAAGGUCUCAGCAUCCUUUCUCUUCCCAUUUGCAUUUCUGUUCUCCAGUUUAUACACCAGAAGAAAAGGGGUCUAGUGAUGCCCGAAGCUGAACUGUACAGCUUAAUGGCCAGAAACCAGACUUGUCACAUGUAAUCAAAUCAGCGUAGUGUUGGUGACAUAGUUAAGACAGUUGAAAAAUCAGUUGCUGUUCCAAGUUCUAAUUUUCAAGUUAUUGUUGGGGCUGAGACUUCUCUCACCUUGCAGCUUUUAUUUUGGAAGAACUCCAAAGCACACUUUUAGUCAUAUUUGAGUAAUUGAAACAUGAAAAAAAAAAAAAGCAAUGUUUCAGCCACAUUAAACUCUAACCAGAUGCUCUUAAAGUUUCUGUGUGUACACAUCACUCUUUACUCUGGCACAAAGCAGAGGAAAUGUGUCCACCAGACUGGAAAUACAGUACCCUUAAGAGCCACCAUAGCCUACUGACACAUUGCAUCUCCAAAGAGGAAGAAAAGGAGGCUCCUGUUGGCCUCUCCAGUUCUCCUCUCUCCUCAGAACGUGGGGAAUCCAAGCACAAUCAAGUUAGCGUUUACUGAGAGCCAGGAACAGUGCUGAAGAACAGCGGGAAGUUGGCAAGGAUUUAAUCAACGUACAAACUGAAAAUGACAUCUGUCUAGGAUUUUCAUAAGAAAGGCUGACACCAGGUUUCCACUUGAGUGGCCAAAGUUAGUGGCAGUUCUUUUCCUUCUAUUAACAAGAAGCAAAGGGAGAACGGGUUUGGGGGUUUAAAAUAAAAGCAAUGUGCCUGAGAAGUAAGCACUCUUACCAGCGGAGCUGCAUCCCAAGCACACCUGUACUCUCAGCACCAGGCAGGCGGAGGAAGAGGCAGGAGAGCUCAGAGUUCAGGCCAGUGUGCUCCUUAAUGAACCUGAGGCCAGUCUGGGAUACUUGGGACUUGGUCUCAAUAAUAUAAAUAAUGACAGGUUGACUUUAGGCUUUUAAUUCCAAUGUCACCAUCUCCUGUAAUCCCCUUCACUCUCAUUGUGAGUAUGCAAAGUAUGCGUGUGUGCAUGUGUGUAUAUGUGUAUGGAAGAGUGUGCAUUUAUGGCUGGGGAACACAGAGCCUCAGGGCACACUAGGUAAGUACUCUACCAUUGAACAAUCCCAGCCCUAACAUCUUAACAUCUAUCUAAAAUGUACAUAUGAUCAAUCACAAAAUGUUCUAAUGAAAACUCCACAGCAUUGUCCCUUGUAAUUAAAAUAAUAUCUAUGUAAGAAACAUUCAUUAUUAGUCUUUGCUGUCAACCUUUUUCUCUUUCUUUCUCCUCCCUUCCUCUCUCCCUCCUUUCCUUC